This 261-nucleotide ribosomal RNA is filed under the name Salmonella enterica subsp. enterica serovar Montevideo. Its description in RNAcentral is "partial 16S ribosomal RNA". It matches the Rfam family "Bacterial small subunit ribosomal RNA", at positions 997 to 1258 of the family's 1533-position model. Lineage: Bacteria; Pseudomonadati; Pseudomonadota; Gammaproteobacteria; Enterobacterales; Enterobacteriaceae. The record is from RNAcentral.
UUUCCAGAGAUGGAUUGGUGCCUUCGGGAACUGUGAGACAGGUGCUGCAUGGCUGUCGUCAGCUCGUGUUGUGAAAUGUUGGGUUAAGUCCCGCAACGAGCGCAACCCUUAUCCUUUGUUGCCAGCGAUUCGGUCGGGAACUCAAAGGAGACUGCCAGUGAUAAACUGGAGGAAGGUGGGGAUGACGUCAAGUCAUCAUGGCCCUUACGACCAGGGCUACACACGUGCUACAAUGGCGCAUACAAAGAGAAGCGACCUCGC